UACGAAGGGGGCUAGCGUUGCUCGGAAUCACUGGGCGUAAAGCGCACGUAGGCGGCUAAGUAAGUCGGGCGUGAAAUCCCACGGCUCAACCGUGGAAGUGCACUCGAAACUGCAUAGCUAGAGUCCUGGAGAGGAAGGUGGAAUGCUUGGUGUAGAGGUGAAAUUCGUAGAUAUCAAGCGGAACACCGGUGGCGAAGGCGGCCUUCUGGACAGUGACUGACGCUGAGACGCGAAAGCGUGGGGAGCAAACAGGG
RNAcentral lists this ribosomal RNA (254 nucleotides) under uncultured bacterium. RNAcentral describes it as "partial 16S ribosomal RNA". It matches the Rfam family "Bacterial small subunit ribosomal RNA", at positions 524 to 777 of the family's 1533-position model. The record is from RNAcentral.